UGCCGGGUGGUGUAAUGGUAACACUGAUGGCUCUGGACCAUCCGUUCUAGGUUCGAGUCCUAGCCCGGCAGCCA
RNAcentral lists this transfer RNA (74 nucleotides) under Elusimicrobia bacterium ADurb.Bin231. Its description in RNAcentral is "tRNA-Gln". It matches the Rfam family "tRNA". Rfam says of the family: Transfer RNA (tRNA) molecules are approximately 80 nucleotides in length. Their secondary structure includes four short double-helical elements and three loops (D, anti-codon, and T loops). Lineage: Bacteria; Pseudomonadati; Elusimicrobiota. The record is from RNAcentral.